Molecule: transfer RNA, 76 nt
Filed under: Candidatus Portiera aleyrodidarum (primary endosymbiont of Bemisia tabaci)
Lineage: Bacteria; Pseudomonadati; Pseudomonadota; Gammaproteobacteria; Johnevansiales (SeqCode); Johnevansiaceae (SeqCode)
Description: tRNA-kIle(cat)
Rfam family: tRNA
About the family: Transfer RNA (tRNA) molecules are approximately 80 nucleotides in length. Their secondary structure includes four short double-helical elements and three loops (D, anti-codon, and T loops).
Source: RNAcentral
UAGGCUUAUAGCUCAAUAGGUUAGAGCAGAGGACUCAUAAUCCUUUGGUUGUAGGUUCAAAUCCUACUAGGCCUAU